GUUAAAAGAGCAUACAAGGCAUUGCUUACCAGAUCUUUAGCAGCUUGUUGAACAACAGAACAACUAAAAUAGCAAAUUAACCUAACAUGUGAGUGUGAUACAUGAUUUAUCACCAUCUUUUCCGUCUCUCUGAUUGCUUAACAUGGUUUUGAAUUUUAAGAGGAUGUUUGGAUGGACUUAUUCUAAGUAGUUUUAGGCUUUUAAGCUCUUCUUUAUUUUUGGAGGUGUUCGGGAAAGAAGAAGUGCUUUUAACCACUUUCUUUUAGGCUGAAAAAGCACAAAAACAAGCU
RNAcentral lists this unclassified non-coding RNA (290 nucleotides) under Hevea brasiliensis (rubber tree). The record is from RNAcentral. Lineage: Eukaryota; Viridiplantae; Streptophyta; Magnoliopsida; Malpighiales; Euphorbiaceae.